This 590-nucleotide long non-coding RNA is filed under the name Physcomitrium patens. RNAcentral's name for it is "long non-coding RNA (PPAT_LNC008664)". Lineage: Eukaryota; Viridiplantae; Streptophyta; Bryopsida; Funariales; Funariaceae. The record is from RNAcentral.
UCAUACUUGCCUUGUGGGUUCUUCGCCACCGAGCCGAUGCGGAAGAUGUCGACGACGAACCUCGCGUUCACAUGCUGGUCCACGAAACAGGAGCACGCGAUUAUGGGAGUGCACGUCGAGACGGCUUCCAGAAUCGAGUUCCAGCCACAGUGGCUCAUGAACAGACCAACUGCGGGGUGCGCUAGAACGGUGGGUUGCAUCACCCAGCUGCUGUACAGUUUGCCUCGAUCGCGAGUUCGCUCCUCAAAUCCUGUCCAUGUAUUUGUUGGAGUUGUGAAGUGAGAAAUGGAGUUGUUGGAGUUGAAAGUGGGAUAUGAACGAGUGAGAUGUGGUAUAAAAGAUUUCGCGCAAGUUAGGAGGGUAACCUGAAGGAAGUAGAUCCUUGAGCUCGUCCUUGAAGUUCUGCUUCGAGACCAUGACCUGGGGUGUUUCAGGUGGUCGAAGAAUCCACAAGAAGCGUUGUCCGCUGGCUUCCAGCGCGUGUGCGACCUCCCGAAUCUGCUCGGCUGGCAGGGAGAAAAUGCUGCCGAAUGCAAUGUAAAGGACCGAGCCCGACGGUUGGUUGUCCAGCCAUUGUUCAACUUCGCCUG